AACGAACGCUGGCGGCAGGCCUAACACAUGCAAGUCGAACGCCCGUAGCAAUACGGGAGUGGCAGACGGGUGAGUAACGCGUGGGAACGUGCCCUUCGGUUCGGAAUAACUCAGGGAAACUUGAGCUAAUACCGGAUACGUCCGUAAGGAGAAAGAUUUAUCGCCGAAGGAUCGGCCCGCGUCGGAUUAGCUAGUUGGUGAGGUAACGGCCCACAAGGCGACGAUCCGUAGCUGGUCUGAGAGGANGAUCAGCCACACUGGGACUGAGACACGGCCCAGACUCCUACGGGAGGCAGCAGUGGGGAAUAUUGGACAAUGGGCGAAAGCCUGAUCCAGCCAUGCCGCGUGAGUGAAGAGGCCUUAGGGUUGUAAAGCUCUUUCAGCGGGAAGA
Molecule: ribosomal RNA, 391 nt
Filed under: uncultured bacterium
Lineage: Bacteria
Description: bacterial SSU rRNA
Rfam family: Bacterial small subunit ribosomal RNA
Source: RNAcentral